Molecule: long non-coding RNA, 262 nt
Filed under: Setaria italica (foxtail millet)
Lineage: Eukaryota; Viridiplantae; Streptophyta; Magnoliopsida; Poales; Poaceae
Description: long non-coding RNA (SITA_LNC003154)
Source: RNAcentral
GAACUGAUCCAUCUAUUCUGAGUCUUCGGAGCCGACUGCUCGGAUCGGCUGUAGGCCAAAAUCGGUGACCUUCAGGAAAUCGGUCUCCCAUACUCUGCCGGAUAUGCACCUGACGGUUUCGCAGCUCCACUGCUGCGUGUCGGCUGUCGCGAUGCUGUAUGCGGAAUCGGCUUUGACUACCUCGAUGUUAUCGCCGACCCAUUGUACGAGACAUUGAUGCAUUGUUGACGGAAUACAGCAAUUUGCGUGUAUCCAGUCCCGG